CCCCUAGAUGUUCUGGGCCGCACGCGCGCUACACUGAACAGUUCAACAAGUCUUAACCUUGGCCGAUAGGUCUGGGUAAUCUUUGAACGCUGUUCGUGAUUGGGAUAGACCUUUGCAAUUAUGGGUCUUCAACGAGGAAUUCCUAGUAAACGCAAGUCAUCAGCUUGCAUUGAUUACGUCCCUGCCCUUUGUACACACCGCCCGUCGCACCUACCGGUUGAAUGGUCCGGUGAAAUCUCGGGACGGCGGCUUGGUCGCUUGCGUCCGACUGCUGAAACUUGAUUAAACCAUAUCAUUUAGAGGAAGGUGAAGUCGUANCA
RNAcentral lists this ribosomal RNA (320 nucleotides) under uncultured eukaryote. RNAcentral's name for it is "partial 18S ribosomal RNA". It matches the Rfam family "Eukaryotic small subunit ribosomal RNA", at positions 1470 to 1796 of the family's 1831-position model. The record is from RNAcentral.